CCCCUAGAUGUUCUGGGCCGCACGCGCGCUACACUGAACAGUUCAACAAGUCUUAACCUUGGCCGAUAGGUCUGGGUAAUCUUUGAACGCUGUUCGUGAUUGGGAUAGACCUUUGCAAUUAUGGGUCUUCAACGAGGAAUUCCUAGUAAACGCAAGUCAUCAGCUUGCGUUGAUUACGUCCCUGCCCUUUGUACACACCGCCCGUCGCUACUACCGAUUGAACGUUUUAGUGAGGUAUUUGGACUGGACCUUCGGAGGUUCGCGCCUCCGUUGCUGUUCGGGAAGACUCCCAAACUUGAGCGUUUAGAGGAAGUAAAAGUCGUANCA
Molecule: ribosomal RNA, 327 nt
Filed under: uncultured eukaryote
Lineage: Eukaryota
Description: partial 18S ribosomal RNA
Rfam family: Eukaryotic small subunit ribosomal RNA
Source: RNAcentral